GAUGAACGCUGGCGGCGUGCCUAAUACAUGCAAGUCGAGCGAACAGACGAGGAGCUUGCUCCUCUGACGUUAGCGGCGGACGGGUGAGAAACACGUGGAUCACCUACCUAUAAGACUGGGAUAACUUCGGGAAACCGGAGCUAAUACCGGAUAAUAUAUUGAACCGCAUGGUUCAAUAGUUAAAGACGGUUUUGCUGUCACUUAUAGAUGGAUCCGCGGCGCAUUAGCUAGUUGGUAAGGUAACGGCUUACCAAGGCUACGAUGCGUAGCCGACCUGAGAGGGUGAUCGGCCACACUGGAACUGAGACACGGUCCAGACUCCUACGGGAGGCAGCAGUAGGGAAUCUUCCGCAAUGGGCGAAAGCCUGACGGAGCAAUGCCGCGUGAGUGAUGAAGGUCUUCGGAUCGUAAAACUCUGUUAUUAGGGAAGAACAAAUGUGUAAGUAACUAUGCACGUCUUGACGGUACCUAAUGAGAAAGCCACGGCUAACUACGUG
This 497-nucleotide ribosomal RNA is filed under the name uncultured bacterium. RNAcentral describes it as "partial 16S ribosomal RNA". It matches the Rfam family "Bacterial small subunit ribosomal RNA", at positions 28 to 507 of the family's 1533-position model. The record is from RNAcentral.